RNAcentral lists this unclassified non-coding RNA (432 nucleotides) under soil metagenome. RNAcentral describes it as "partial contains 5.8S ribosomal RNA, internal transcribed spacer 2, and large subunit ribosomal RNA". The stretch from base 1 to 120 matches the Rfam family "5.8S ribosomal RNA", at positions 35 to 154 of the family's 154-position model. The record is from RNAcentral.
GAUGAAGAACGUAGCGAAAUGCGAUACGUAAUGUGAAUUGCAGAAUUCAGUGAAUCAUCGAAUCUUUGAACGCAUAUUGCGCUCUCUGGUAUUCCGGAGAGCAUGCUUGUUUGAGUAUCAGUAAACACCUCAACUUCCAUAUCUUUUUUGAAAUGGGAGUUGGACUUGAGUGAUCCCAACGCUUUUCCUCACCGAAAAGUGGCGGGUUACUUGAAAUGCAGGUGCAGCUGGACUUUUCUCUGAGCUAUAAGCAUAUCUAUUUAGUCUGCCUAAAAAACAGAUUAUUACCUUUGCUGCAGCUAACAUAAAGGAGAUUAGUUCUUGUGCUGACUGAUGCAGGAUUCACAAAGACGGCUUCGGCCGACUUUGUAAACUCGAUCUCAAAUCAAGUAAGACUACCCGCUGAACUUAAGUAUAUCAAUAAGCGGAGGA